Molecule: unclassified non-coding RNA, 359 nt
Filed under: Hevea brasiliensis (rubber tree)
Lineage: Eukaryota; Viridiplantae; Streptophyta; Magnoliopsida; Malpighiales; Euphorbiaceae
Source: RNAcentral
GAGAGAUCAAGUGAGGAGAGAGUACUUUACAUUAUCACUUUGGCUUUAAAAAAUUGUUAAAAUGGGUAAAAUUGGAGGCCACAUGGAUGUUCCAAAUAAAUAAUUGAUGGAAUCAUGAAAAAGGGAAUUUUAUGAGAUCAAAAUAGAAUAUUAGGGAGUUUAAAGAGACAAAAUGAAGUUUAGGGGCAUUAAUAUGCACAGUAAUAAGUUCACAGUAAUUAGUUCAGGGAUGACGUGAAAUUAAUCGUCGAAGUUUAAUUACUCUUCUGUACUUAUCAGAGAAGUUCAAUUUAGUUAUUUUUAAUUUUUUUUGUCUAAUUUAGUCCAUAAAUUUUAAUUUAAGCUCAAUUUAGCCCAAA